UCUCUGGUUCAACAAUGAUGCGAACUCUGGUUGAAACCGGAGCUGAACUUGUGAUGGUUAUGUCUAUCGCCUUGCUUGAGUGACCAAUAUAUGUCGAUGACCUGUCAGGACUGGCGCACCUCCAUGAGUAAGCUCAGUUGGCUCCUUUGGAUCUGAUAGCAUUAUGCUUUCAGAGUCAAGCAUUGCAGUAACAUCUGUCAUGGUGGGCCGAUCGGCUGGAUCUUCCUGAGCACAAAGAAGCGCCACCUGCGUGCAUCGCAUUAUCACGGUGCUUUCAUAUCCAUCACACAGUGCUGGAUCAACGAGCUCUUGCAACCUUCCGUCUUUCCACAUAUGCCAUGCCUGAAACAUGUUG
This 355-nucleotide small RNA is filed under the name Oryza sativa Japonica Group (Japanese rice). Its description in RNAcentral is "sRNA Os06g0690400". The record is from RNAcentral. Lineage: Eukaryota; Viridiplantae; Streptophyta; Magnoliopsida; Poales; Poaceae.